GGGCGAGUGGCGGAAUGGCAGACGCACGGGACUUAAAAUCCCGAGGGUGUAAACCCGUGAGAGUUCGAGUCUCUCCUCGCCCACCA
RNAcentral lists this transfer RNA (86 nucleotides) under Desulfarculales bacterium. RNAcentral describes it as "tRNA-Leu". It matches the Rfam family "tRNA". Rfam says of the family: Transfer RNA (tRNA) molecules are approximately 80 nucleotides in length. Their secondary structure includes four short double-helical elements and three loops (D, anti-codon, and T loops). The record is from RNAcentral. Lineage: Bacteria; Pseudomonadati; Thermodesulfobacteriota; Desulfarculia; Desulfarculales.